CGUGGGUAACCUGCCCAAGAGAUCGGGAUAACACCUGGAAACAGAUGCUAAUACCGGAUAACAACAGAUGAUGCCUAUCAACUGUUUAAAAGAUGGUUCUGCUAUCACUCUUGGAUGGACCUGCGGUGCAUUAGCUAGUUGGUAGGGUAACGGCCUACCAAGGCGAUGAUGCAUAGCCGAGUUGAGAGACUGAUCGGCCGCAUUGGGACUGAGACACGGCCCAAACUCCUACGGGAGGCAGCAGUU
RNAcentral lists this ribosomal RNA (246 nucleotides) under uncultured Lactobacillus sp. RNAcentral's name for it is "partial 16S ribosomal RNA". It matches the Rfam family "Bacterial small subunit ribosomal RNA", at positions 116 to 355 of the family's 1533-position model. The record is from RNAcentral. Lineage: Bacteria; Bacillati; Bacillota; Bacilli; Lactobacillales; Lactobacillaceae.